Molecule: ribosomal RNA, 375 nt
Filed under: uncultured Erysipelothrix sp.
Lineage: Bacteria; Bacillati; Bacillota; Erysipelotrichia; Erysipelotrichales; Erysipelotrichaceae
Description: bacterial SSU rRNA
Rfam family: Bacterial small subunit ribosomal RNA
Source: RNAcentral
AGAGAUAGAGUGGAGGUUAUCCGGGAGUACAGGUGGUGGCAUGGUUGUGUCCCAGCUCGUGUCGUGAGAUGUGGUUAAGUCCCGCAACGAGCGCAACCCUUGUCUUUAGUUACCAUCAUUCAGUUGGGGACUCUAGAGAGACUGCCGGUGAUAAACCGGAGGAAGGUGGGGAUGACGUCAAAUCAUCAUGCCCCUUAUGGCCUGGGCUACAAACGUAAUACAAUGGCGUAUACAAAGGGAUGCGAAAGGGCGACCUGGAGCAAAACUCACAAAGUACGUCUCAGUUCAGAUUGGAGUCUGCAACUCGACUCCAUGAAGGCGGAAUCGCUAGUAAUCGCGGAUCAGCAUGCCGCGGUGAAUACGUUCUCGGGGUUU